CAGUCGCCGCGGUAAUACGAAGGGGGCUAGCGUUACUCGGAAUUACUGGGCGUAAAGCGUGCGUAGGUGGUGGUUUAAGUCCGUUGUGAAAGCCCUGGGCUCAACCUGGGAAUUGCAGUGGAUACUGGAUCACUAGAGUGUGGUAGAGGAUAGUGGAAUUCCCGGUGUAGCAGUGAAAUGCGUAGAGAUCGGAAGGAACAUCUGUGGCGAAGGCGACUAUCUGGGCCAACACUGACACUGAGGCACGAAAGCGUGGGGAGCAAACAGGAUUAGAUACCCCCGUAGUCCCUGUCUCUUAUAC
RNAcentral lists this ribosomal RNA (301 nucleotides) under uncultured bacterium. RNAcentral's name for it is "partial 16S ribosomal RNA". It matches the Rfam family "Bacterial small subunit ribosomal RNA", at positions 509 to 807 of the family's 1533-position model. The record is from RNAcentral.